ACGGUCAUAUCACAUAGAAACACCGAAUCUCGUACUAUCAGCGAAGUUAAGCAACGUGGAGGCUGGGUCAGUAUCGGGAUGGCUGACCUUUUGGGAAUAUCAGGUGCUGUAA
Molecule: ribosomal RNA, 112 nt
Filed under: Acanthosepion pharaonis
Lineage: Eukaryota; Metazoa; Mollusca; Cephalopoda; Sepiida; Sepiidae
Source: RNAcentral